This 853-nucleotide long non-coding RNA is filed under the name Homo sapiens (human). RNAcentral's name for it is "HSALNT0193687". The record is from RNAcentral. Lineage: Eukaryota; Metazoa; Chordata; Mammalia; Primates; Hominidae.
AAGGAAAGGCUUGUUAGGGAAGUCACAUCUCAGCUGAGAUUUGAAAGGUAAGUUGGAGGAAGCCUAGUGAAGAAAGCUGAAGGAGGAAUGUAGAGCGUUCAGGAUAAAGCAGCAGCCCGUGGUAAGCUUAGAAUCAUCAUCCACCACGACAAGAUGCAAGAUAGGUAAUCAAUUCAGUACAUCAGAAUCACUGGCUAUGAAGAGAAGAUUCAAGCAGAGACCUGCAGGAUCAAACACUAGCUGAAUUGCUGGGGUUGCAAAGAGGAAUAAAACCGUCACCUGCUUGGAGGACGUCAAAAUCUACAAAGAAGAGGAGUUUUGAAGUUUUGUGACUGGGACUGGCUUUCCUGUUCUUCAGCUUGCAGAAGGCCUGUUGUGAGACUUCGCCUUGUGAUCGUAUUCAUCUCAUGCCAAGCCUCUACGCCAAUCCAUCCUGAAUUAGAUGCUGUGCUCUUAUAUGCCGCUGUGCAUUUGGUCCUGCUCCAUCACUCAGGCUGGAAUGCAAUGGUGUGAUCCAGACUAACCGCAACCGCCACCCUGCAGGCUCAAGCAUCCUCUCACCUCAGCCUCCCAAAUAGUGGGAGCACAGGUGCAUGCCACCACAGCCAGCUAAUUUUGGUAUUUUUUAUAGAGAAGGAGUUUCACCAUGUUGCCCAAGCUGCUCUCAAACUCCUGAGAUAAGGAGAUCCACCCACCUUGGCCUCCCAAGUGUUAGGAUUGCAGACAUGAGCCAGCAUGCCGGCCUGGUAGAUUUCAUUUAACAUUACAACAUGAAGAUUUUUAAAUAUAUUCUCUUCUAUAACAUAAUGAUUCCAUAAUAUUGCUUUAUUUUGCUGCAAAAUUUUGAUAAGGG